CUUCAUCGAUCCUUUAAUUCUCUGCUCACUCCCUGGUUGAGUUGGGGAGAAAUAUUAGAGAAAGAAGCUUGGCCAACACUGAUUUUAUAAUACGUUAUAGGGGAAUCUCAAAGUGUGUGAACUCUCACGGAAUUACGCACUGGUUAACAAAGAGAGACGGUUGUUGGUUGUCUGUUUCUUUGAAUGAUUGUAUCAAGACAAUAAAAAAGAAAGCAGAGAGAUACUGAAUACAGCUCAGUUAGACUAUAGGGUACAGAGAAACAAAGAGAUUAGCUUUCAUCACGUGUGUUUCUGGCUUUUAUCCAUUUUGCUCGUCCGAUUUUAAAUUUUCCCCUUUUUUUUUCUCUCAUUCUUCUCGAGAUUCUCUCUUGCUCUCAGUUAACUUAUUCUCGCCCUGUUACUUUUUUAUCUUUUCGCAGAGAAAAGAAGAAGGCCACCAUUGGCAGCCAACUCCAAUAAUAAUCCACAUUCUUUAGUCUUUACUGUAACUCAGCAACCCCAGCGAUUACUGGGACCCAUUUGGACCCAGCGGCCAAUUCUGGUGCGAUGUGCAAAAC
Molecule: long non-coding RNA, 557 nt
Filed under: Citrus maxima (pomelo)
Lineage: Eukaryota; Viridiplantae; Streptophyta; Magnoliopsida; Sapindales; Rutaceae
Description: long non-coding RNA (CMAX_LNC000520)
Source: RNAcentral